UUGGAACAUAGAAAUCUGAUAAUUAAUAAAAUAUCUAAUAUAAAUUAUUUACAUCAAAAAUCUUGAAUGAGAUUUGAGAAUCUGGUGAGAAAAUUAAAGGGAAUAAGGGACAUGGAUGCCGGGAAAUAGUCAUGCAAGUUAACCUGAGAUUUAACUUCUCACUUGAAGGAACUGUUAACUUCCAUUAAUUAAAAAAACAAUCCUGUGAGUAUGUAUUCAGUUAUACU
Molecule: long non-coding RNA, 227 nt
Filed under: Oryctolagus cuniculus (rabbit)
Lineage: Eukaryota; Metazoa; Chordata; Mammalia; Lagomorpha; Leporidae
Description: lncRNA (ENSOCUG00000033036.1)
Source: RNAcentral